Molecule: small RNA, 28 nt
Filed under: Bombyx mori (domestic silkworm)
Lineage: Eukaryota; Metazoa; Arthropoda; Insecta; Lepidoptera; Bombycidae
Description: ovarian small RNA-15803
Source: RNAcentral
GAGCGAAAAAGACAGCCCCCGGGAAAGA